GAUGAACGCUGGCGGCGUGCCUAAUACAUGCCAGUCGAGCGAACAGACGAGGAGCUUGCUCCUCUGACGUUAGCGGCGGACGGGUGAGUAACACGUGGAUAACCUACCUAUAAGACUGGGAUAACUUCGGGAAACCGGAGCUAAUACCGGAUAAUAUAUUGAACCGCAUGGUUCAAUAGUGAAAGACGGUUUUGCUGUCACUUAUAGAUGGAUCCGCGCCGCAUUAGCUAGUUGGUAAGGUGACGGCUUACCAAGGCGACGAUGCGUAGCCGACCUGAGAGGGUGAUCGGCCACACUGGAACUGAGACACGGUCCAGACUCCUACGGGAGGCAGCAGUAGGGAAUCUUCCGCAAUGGGCGAAAGCCUGACGGAGCAACGCCGCGUGAGUGAUGAAGGUCUUCGGAUCGUAAAACUCUGUUAUUAGGGAAGAACAAAUGUGUAAGUAACUAUGCACGUCUUGACGGUACCUAAUCAGAAAGCCACGGCUAACUACGUG
Molecule: ribosomal RNA, 497 nt
Filed under: uncultured bacterium
Lineage: Bacteria
Description: partial 16S ribosomal RNA
Rfam family: Bacterial small subunit ribosomal RNA
Source: RNAcentral